RNAcentral lists this ribosomal RNA (414 nucleotides) under Clostridioides difficile. RNAcentral's name for it is "bacterial SSU rRNA". It matches the Rfam family "Bacterial small subunit ribosomal RNA", at positions 1025 to 1440 of the family's 1533-position model. Lineage: Bacteria; Bacillati; Bacillota; Clostridia; Peptostreptococcales; Peptostreptococcaceae. The record is from RNAcentral.
ACAUUGGUGACAGGUGGUGCAUGGUUGUCGUCAGCUCGUGUCGUGAGAUGUUGGGUUAAGUCCCGCAACGAGCGCAACCCUUGUCUUUAGUUGCCAUCAUUAAGUUGGGCACUCUAGAGAGACUGCCAGGGAUAACCUGGAGGAAGGUGGGGAUGACGUCAAAUCAUCAUGCCCCUUAUGCUUAGGGCUACACACGUGCUACAAUGGGUAGUACAGAGGGUUGCCAAGCCGUAAGGUGGAGCUAAUCCCUUAAAGCUACUCUCAGUUCGGAUUGUAGGCUGAAACUCGCCUACAUGAAGCUGGAGUUACUAGUAAUCGCAGAUCAGAAUGCUGCGGUGAAUGCGUUCCCGGGUCUUGUACACACCGCCCGUCACACCACGGGAGUUGGAGACGCCCGAAGCCGAUUAUCUAACC